This 454-nucleotide unclassified non-coding RNA is filed under the name Hevea brasiliensis (rubber tree). The record is from RNAcentral. Lineage: Eukaryota; Viridiplantae; Streptophyta; Magnoliopsida; Malpighiales; Euphorbiaceae.
GUCAGAAAUUACUUCUGGCUUGCUUCGGGGACUCCUUCACCAGGGGAAACUUCGUGUUAACCGUUUUAAUCCAUUUGAAGCAUAUGUCGGAAGUGAAAGCAUUGGUGAUGAGAUAAUUAUAUAUGGACGUGCAAACAUGAAUAGAGCUUUUGACGGUGAUAUAGUGGCAGUUGAGCUUUUGCCUCCAGAACAGUGGCACGAGGAGAAGUCUUUGGCAUUAGCCGAUGAAGAUGAUGAAGAAGAAGAUGUUCAUUUAGCUCCAAACACUGCUGAUGAUGCUCCAAGAGCCCUGAAUCAAGGGCAAACUGCACCUGAGGAAAUGAAACCUUCUCGUCCAACUGGAUGUGUUGUUGGUAUCAUAAAGCGGAACUGGCACUCUUACUGUGGAUCCUUGGAGCCUAUGCCUAUGCCAGCUGGUGAUGGUGGUCGUGCCCAUGCCUUAUUUGUAUCCAAA